GACGAACGCUGGCGGCGUGCUUAACACAUGCAAGUCGAACGGUAAGGCCCUUCGGGGUACACGAGUGGCGAACGGGUGAGUAACACGUGGGUGAUCUGCCCUGCACUUCGGGAUAAGCCUGGGAAACUGGGUCUAAUACCGGAUAGGACUCCUGGCUUCAUGGUUGGGGGUGUAAAGCUUUUGCGGUGUGGGAUGGGCCCCGCGGCCUAUCAGCUUGUUGGUGGGGUAAUGGCCCUUACCAAGGCGACGACGGGUAGCCGGCCUGAGAGGGUGACCGGCCACACUGGGACUGAGAUACGGCCCAGACUCCUACGGGAGGCAGCAGUGGGGAAUAUUGCACAAUGGGCGCAAGCCUGAUGCAGCGACGCCGCGUGAGGGAUGACGGCCU
This 388-nucleotide ribosomal RNA is filed under the name uncultured bacterium. RNAcentral describes it as "bacterial SSU rRNA". It matches the Rfam family "Bacterial small subunit ribosomal RNA", at positions 28 to 417 of the family's 1533-position model. The record is from RNAcentral.